This 2711-nucleotide long non-coding RNA is filed under the name Gallus gallus (chicken). RNAcentral's name for it is "long non-coding RNA NONGGAT008508". Lineage: Eukaryota; Metazoa; Chordata; Aves; Galliformes; Phasianidae. The record is from RNAcentral.
CUCGGGAGGCCGCCGUCGCUGCCGUGUGCCAGGACGCGUCUUGUCCUUUAACGGCGCACACGGCGGCGUAGGAACGCCGUCACGGGCAGGGUGGGCGGCUGAGAGGAAGCCUCGCCCACGGCUUUGCAUGCGAGGAGGAGCCGUGCAACGGCAGUGGCGAGCGGGGCUGCGCGCGUUUGAAGAGCAGUUGAUGCCACAAAGGAAUGCGGCGUGCGGAGCGUGCUUUGGGCUUUGCGAGCACCUGAUACAAUUUGCUGGAAAAUUGAAUUUGGGGGCACAGUGAAAAUCAAAUCAGGGACAGAAAAGUGAUAAGAAUGCUGAGCAAGGGCUUGUCCUAGGAAUCACAGAUGAAGACUGAUUUUGCAGCUGUGGGAAUGGCAGAGCGCUCCCAGCUGCCUGGAAACCGAAAUCAAGAGAUGUGGAGGUACUGGAAGGCACAAAUACCCAGCGGUUGUCCUUGGUUUCUUUCCUGGAAAUCAGGAGUCCACGCUGAGGAAAUUAGUGCACUUUCCUGGUCCUUUCACAUAGCUCAGACCUUGCUGUACGUUACCCCAAGGCUGGCCCCCAGUCCGUGUGUGGAAGGUGCUUCCGAUGAACAUGUGUGAUGGCACUGCCUGGUGCCCAUCCCUACAGCAGCCCUAUGGACCGCAAGGCACGGCAGGUUCAGGUUCAUCACAGCGCCAUUUGUCACAUUUGGCAUUCUCUCUUUGUGAAAAUGUCAGUUAUUGGGAAAGGGGCAGUGUUGGCAGGGGCUGUUGAUUAGCAACAGACCACACAGCUAGAUAUGUUCCCGUGGCACUGCUGUUUGCAGCCGCUCACAUAUGCGGGAGUGCUGUGAGUGCUUCAUAAAAAAACAGUGAAGAGAAAUGGAAGUGGAAAUGGGGAGAUGAGAAGUUUGUAGAAGUGACUCAUUGUGACAACUGCAUGCGAAGGUGAAAGAUACUCAACACCUUAGCCAAGAAAAGAGCUCAAAUCUGCUUGACGUAAACUUCAGUGUGGAUAUUUUGAUAUUAAAAGAUUAGGUAUGAGUUUGACAGAGAGCUGUUCUUCUUUGGAGUGUUAAUUCUGUCUUCAUUAGUGAAUUUAUGCAUAAAAGAAAGAAAACACGAACAGCACCAAUGUGAUCAUUCACCCAAGAGAUGUCCAUCCUGAAUCAAAGCAAACUGUGGCAGGUAAAAUCCAGCCUUUCAUUUCUGUUGGAAUGCAGCUGGCCAACCUCCCUUACCCUCCGAGCCACCUUAGAGGGUAAAGGGGCUAUGAACUUUGCAGAGAUUCACAAGUGGCACCCAACAUCCCACCAGUCUGCUGCAAGCACAAUGCUUUUAUUUUGAGACGAAGAGAUGAAGUCUGGGAAUCUACUGCGUGCCAAAGUCUUCCUGGAGAAUAUGGAGCUCCCUCAAAAUUGAGCUGGUGUGAAACUGCUCUGAGCCUACAAGUGCCUGCAAUACGACAAGUGCCUGCUGUACCACCACUCUCAUCUCUGAAACCAGUUUCUUCAUCGCCCCACAAUCGAUACAGAUGUUGCUGUAGUCAGGCAACAGAAUGCCAAUGCAGCACCCUGGGAACAGAGGAGCAGUUGUUUUCACCACAGCUUUCCCAUUUGGUUUAGCUCUGUCAGGCAAGGAAAGCACCUGCCUCUUUCCAACAAGAACUUAUUCAGCUUGAGCAUCUCCAUAUGAAACAAUUAAUGGAACAGAAAGGCAGUGAGAAGAAAUCCACCAAGGACUUCUGAGAAGUGAAGCUGCAGUCCUGCAAGGUGUGCCUAUUAAUGCCACAGGAGAGGGGCAAUAAUUAAAAAUGUGUUUUUCAGGACCACCGGCUGAACUAACAUGAACAGAGAUGCACAUGUGGUAAAGCAUCCUUCCUCCCACUCCAUCAGGCUGUACAUCAGUUAAGAUUUAUCACUGCUGAUGACAGAUACCUGACCUCACAUAACUCUUUAAGCACAGAGUUUUGUUGUAACAGUUGUAGUUAAAUAAAGUGUUAUUUCUCUUAAGCCUUAAAUAAAAGAACAGUGGAAAACAGUGGGAAGAAAUAAGCUUCACCCCUCAUACUGACCUGUUCAAGCGACUUGCCAGCCCACCCAAUGGCCUUCAUCUUUCUCCUUAUCUCCCAUUGCUUCUGAUAGGACAAAAUGCGGUUAAGAGGCCAGGGGUAAGGGGAGCCAUACCUCGGGUGAGUAAUCUUUGGUAAGAAACAGAAAGUGACUUUGUUAUCAUAUAAACAAUGCAGACAGCUCUAUUUACAAAACAGCUAGUAGUCUCAUCUUUCUAUCACUGAGAGCAAUAAAGAGAAAGAAUGUUGUGUGAUAUGCUGCAAUUAUUUGUGCAGAAUUUAUUGUUUUCAGUAGAACCAUUUAAAAUUACUACCUUGGAAACAUAUGCAAAACUCCUAUUUGUUCCACAGUCACAUACCUCCAGUCAAGUUACAACUUCCCUAAAAUGUAUAUGCAAGCAGAAUGCAAGUGAAAAGACUGUAUCAUUAAUGGUACAGAGCUCAAUGUUUCAUUUAUGAGUAGGGACUUCCAUUUGUGAGCAAAAGUGUUUUCUCAUUAAAUUUUAAUUAAGAUAAAUGUUGCAGAACCACUCACCUCCUCUACUGUAACAUCAUCACACCAUUGCAGAUAGAGCUAGGAACAGAAAGAACACUUACUACAACUUCCUAAUAAACGAGAAUACAGAUACAAUCAUUUCUCACUAGUAGAAUUUUCC